ACUCCUACGGGAGGCAGCAGUGGGGAAUAUUGGACAAUGGGGGCAACCCUGAUCCAGCCAUACCGCGUGUGUGAAGAAGGCCUUCGGGUUGUAAAGCACUUUCAGUGGGGAGGAAAAGUUGCCGGCGAAUACCCGGCGACCGUGACGCUACCUGCAGAAGAAGCACCGGCAAACUCCGUGCCAGCAGCCGCGGUAAUACGGAGGGUGCAAGCGU
Molecule: ribosomal RNA, 214 nt
Filed under: uncultured bacterium
Lineage: Bacteria
Description: partial 16S ribosomal RNA
Rfam family: Bacterial small subunit ribosomal RNA
Source: RNAcentral